RNAcentral lists this ribosomal RNA (644 nucleotides) under Salmonella enterica subsp. enterica serovar Infantis. Its description in RNAcentral is "partial 23S ribosomal RNA". It matches the Rfam family "Bacterial large subunit ribosomal RNA", at positions 2259 to 2897 of the family's 2925-position model. Lineage: Bacteria; Pseudomonadati; Pseudomonadota; Gammaproteobacteria; Enterobacterales; Enterobacteriaceae. RNAcentral also lists the same sequence under 3 other names. The record is from RNAcentral.
UGGUGGGUAGUUUGACUGGGGCGGUCUCCUCCUAAAGAGUAACGGAGGAGCACGAAGGUUGGCUAAUCCUGGUCGGACAUCAGGAGGUUAGUGCAAUGGCAUAAGCCAGCUUGACUGCGAGCGUGACGGCGCGAGCAGGUGCGAAAGCAGGUCAUAGUGAUCCGGUGGUUCUGAAUGGAAGGGCCAUCGCUCAACGGAUAAAAGGUACUCCGGGGAUAACAGGCUGAUACCGCCCAAGAGUUCAUAUCGACGGCGGUGUUUGGCACCUCGAUGUCGGCUCAUCACAUCCUGGGGCUGAAGUAGGUCCCAAGGGUAUGGCUGUUCGCCAUUUAAAGUGGUACGCGAGCUGGGUUUAGAACGUCGUGAGACAGUUCGGUCCCUAUCUGCCGUGGGCGCUGGAGAACUGAGGGGGGCUGCUCCUAGUACGAGAGGACCGGAGUGGACGCAUCACUGGUGUUCGGGUUGUCAUGCCAAUGGCACUGCCCGGUAGCUAAAUGCGGAAGAGAUAAGUGCUGAAAGCAUCUAAGCACGAAACUUGCCCCGAGAUGAGUUCUCCCUGAGACUUAGAGUCUCCUGAAGGAACGUUGAAGACGACGACGUUGAUAGGCCGGGUGUGUAAGCGCAGCGAUGCGUUGAGCUAACCG